Patella vulgata (common limpet) is the source of this 5618-nucleotide long non-coding RNA. RefSeq lists it as uncharacterized. The record is from RefSeq and is a predicted model, not a curated record. NCBI's taxonomy places the organism in Eukaryota, Metazoa, Mollusca, Gastropoda, Patellidae. The transcript is spliced from 6 exons.
GGAGGUCACUCUGCGAUAAUUUUAAAGAUCGAAACAGAAAUCGUGUAUUUUAUGUACAUUUUAAAUGAAUUUGAACUCCAGCAGUGGCUAGCUGGAGCGGAUGUGAGUUGCGAGGAUGCAAAGAGGAUACAGUGGACGUUUAACGGAUGAUAACGGACAUGGAACGUUUGGUGCUCGUAUAUGUUGUGCAUUUACAUCGUACACGGCAGAAAGUUUGUCCGUUAUAAAAGUUUUGUGCAGCUCAAAAGUUUUUGUGCGGAUGAAAUCAAAGUGAACGGAUGCUCAAUGGAUAGAGCGUAUGAAACACCCCGUACCGAAAUGAAGUGUACACUUCCUCUGAAGUGUUCAUUUCCAACACACUUCUAUAGACACUCGAUUGAAACAAAUAAGUGAUUGUACUGAAAUAUGGCGUCUGUCUAAAAAUAGGUCAUUAGCGGGGUUCGCUCUUCACGGAGUCCAAGUACUAGAUACGCAGCUUAUUAUUGCGAUAUCUCCCCUUUCUGUAUCGAGGAAAUGUAAUCCUGUAUUCAUUAUUUACACAUAAUAAUUAAUCAUAUUGGUGGUUAUUCGCUGUUUCGCUUCGUCUAAAGUCCAGUGGUACGGAACUCGUAUUAUUUGACGGGGAUAUGGCCGGGUAUUUAAAUUAAAAAUAUUGGUCUUACAAUACAAAAUUCCAGAUGUCAUAUUACGUAUGGUACUAAAAUCUAUUACCAUGUUUACGCAGAGGUGGUGUGUUGUUGUCCACCAACAUGGCGGCGUCCUGUAUCUAGGUCAUGUAUCGGAUACCGGUACGCUCUAUAUAUAGGCAUAGACUAUAAUCAAAAUGGCCGACGAGAAUUGAAUGUUUUGAUAGUUGAAUUUGAUUAGGACCUAAUGUGGCUUUGAACACACGGCAUGCAAGCAUGCCUGCCUUAUUUGACAUUAUAUUAUUUCAAAUUAUACUGCCACCAUGGGCUGUAGGCGUUAUAUAGCGAUUAGCGACGAUUCCCGAAUGAUCGAGAUUUACGGUCGGCAUUUCUUUUAUCAGGCUACCGCUUCAAAAUGUACACAAGUGAAUGACGAGUCUUAUGUAAAGCUCUUCUUACAAAUAAACUUGCUAUUUCUAUCAAUGAUUCAGGUACCUAUAAUAACAGACCAUCAUGUGUAGGCUACACGGUAAAAGUAAAAGUAAAUUUGCUGGAAAUUUGGUAAUCCUUGUAAGACUUGAUGUGUUGUGUAGGCUGCACGGUGCCGGUACAUAUUUAAAAUAUUUCAUUCAAUACCCGGUACGGUAUUUUAAAAGACCAAAGCCACCAAUAAUACUCAAUAAGCAAUACAUGUAGUUUUACAUCUGACUGUCAUAAAAUUUUGUAAAUGUAUAUGAUAGCCUAAUAUUGCUGUGAUAUUUAAGCAAAACUUUAUUAAUAUAACCAAAUAAUAAACUGGAUCUUAGUAAAGCAUCUAAAGAAUGGGCUAAUGUAAAGCAAAUUAAGAUUUGGCAAAUAAAAAUUCCAUUUGGCCAUAAAAUAUAUAAACAAUUUUGCAUGUGAAAGUGAUAGCUAUAAAUUGCUAUAUCCUAUGUUUACAAUAUUAUGCUGCUGACAUUUUAUUGUUGUUGAAAUGAGUUAGUGCAUAUUGCUUUAAUCGCUGGACGCAGUAGCCGAAUGAUUCUGCCGAAUGAAUCCGCGCUUAAUGAUUCGCGAAUCAAACAUGUUUGAUAUAUUCGCCCGAAUUAUAUUUAAUCACCAAUCAUAUCAAGAAGUCACGUGAUUGUUUGAAGACAUGGUCACUGCCAUGUUUAAUCAUGCGAUGUCAAAGGUGAUGCAAUCGACUUGUGAAUCAGGUGAGAGUAUGCCCACUUAUUUGGCCGAAUGAUUCGGCUAGUGUAUCCACGACAGACCUUGUGAUUUCAUGUGCACACAUUAAGCACAAAACCAUUCAACCCCCACAUUGAAAAAAUGAAAUGAAAUUGGGUUUAACGUCCUACUGUUCUUCUCCUAUGCUGGGCUAAUGAAGACGGGCAUACGCCAUACAGUGUGCUAUGAGGGAAAUUUUGCCCGGGCAGCAGCACUAUUGCCUACUCUUAUAUCGAAUUCCAACUGCCAAGGGAUCUUUUACGUGCAUUCUAAUGUAUACACAGGACCUCAGUUUUUCGUCUCAUCCGAAGGACUAGACAGCUGUCCUUGUCAGGCCCUCCGUGCUGCAUCACUGGCAAGGGGGAACCACGCCGGAAAAUCUCAAUGAACUUUCUCGGCCAAUGCAGGGAUCGAACACCCGACCUCCAGGCUAGCGAGCCAGCGUCUUACUCACUUAGCCACGUGACCCCCUCCCACAUUGAAAAGAAAAGACACAAGCAAAGAACUACAUGUUAGCCCAGAAGUUACCUGGUUUGUGUUGAGUGGACAUUAAACCCCAUUUUUCUCACUAUCUCAUAUACAAACACAAAAUGUGCUGUGGGAAAUUUUACCUUGACAGCUGCCAUAUGACCUACUCUUAUAUCAAAUUAAAACUGCCAUGGAUUCUUUUACAUGCUGGUUUCGAUUCGCUGUAUUAUAAAGUCUGUCAUUGAGUCAACUGGCGUGGUUUCGAUUCCCUGGCUGUACAAGACAAGGAGUAGGGUCGCCUGUCCAACCUUGUGGGUUUUCUCUGGGUCCUCCGGUUUCCUCCAACUGCUAAAGACCCCUACGUGCAUGCGCAAAUUAUUGAAAUAAAAUUGAACCAUAUGUUAGUCUCAAAAAGACAUUAAGUAGGUCUGUAGUCUAUAUUAAAAUUGCGAGAAUCUGUCAUUUAAAAAAAAAACAGUCCUAGGCCUACGUAGGCCCUGAAAUGAAAUGAAAUGAAAUGGGGUUUAACGUCCUACUGUUCUGCUCCUGGUUUUGAUUCCCCAGUUACGUGACUUGGAGUAGUCGCCUGUCCAACCUUGACGGUUUUCUCCGGGUCCUUCGGUUUCCUCCCACUGCUAAAGACCCCUACGUGCAUGCGCAAAUUAUUGAAAUAAAAUUGAACCAUAUGUUAGUCUCAAAAAGACAUUAAGUAGGUCUAUAAUCUAUAUUAAAAUUGCGAGAAUCUGUCAUUUAAAAAAACAACAUUCCUAGGCCUACGUAGGCCCUGAAAUGAAAUGAAAUGGGGUUUAAUGUCCUACUGUUCUGCUCCUAACCUGGGCUAAUGAAGACGGGCAUACGCCAUACAGUGUGCUAUGAGGGAAAUUUUGCCCGGGCAGCGGCGCUACGGCCUACUCUUAUAUCGAAUUCCAACUGCCAAGGGAUCUUUUACGUGCACGCCAAUGUGUACACGGGACCUCGGUUUUUGUCCCACCCGAACAACUAGACAGUUGUCCUUGUCAGGCCCUCCGUCCUGCAUCACUGGCAAGGGGGAACCACACCGGAAAAUCUCAAUGAACUUUCUCGGCCAAUGCAGGGAUCGAACACCCGACCUCCCGACCUCCAGGCUAGCGAGCCAGCAUCUUACCCACUUAGCCAUGUGAUCCCCGCGUAGGCCCUACACAGUGUACACCUAUCAUAUUUUCGAUGGCAUCGAAAUUUCAGAAACUAUAAUUCAUGAAAAGUUAAAAUAUUGAACAACAAUGUUUUGAUACAAUAAUUAACAUUUGCUUUGGAAGAAAUGUAAAAAGAUUACAAAAAAUGUUGAUAUUGAGACAUUGCUAAAAUUUGCUUAUUAUUAUUACAGCAUAUUUAAUACAAAAAAACAAUGUUAACAGUUGUAUUAUAAGUUCCAUGGUAUAGAGUACCGGUACUAAAAUACAACAGGGUCAGAUAGAAUCCUGUUUAAUAUGUGUUUUUAAGUUGUUUUUUUUUAAAUAAAUAUAUAGAGAUGUAGGCCUACAACAUCUUAAACUAAAUUUUUAAUUGUAGGUCUAGUUGUAAUUAAAUUAGCCUAUUAGUAUUAUCAAAAUGGCGAUCAAGUACCGGUAUUUAAAAAUAUUGUUGACCUAUUUAUUUUAAUGGGUGUGUGGGUGUUACUGUGACCCAGAUGUGAGAUAAUUAAUACAUCACAAGUCUCAAGCGAAAUAUAGGCCUAUAGCCCAGUUCAUGAAAGUUGUUAAGAUAUUGGAAAACAAUGUUUUGAUACACAAUUCAACAUUUUUUUAGGAAAUAGAUUUAUAACCAAACACAAACAAAAGAAUUUCUGUUAAUGAUACCGGUAGUAAAAAAUGAUUUUUAACUUUCUAUUUUUUUUUUACUCGUAUUUUCUAAAGAUCGGUAGGAUUGGUCAAUAAUGACGUAAGUGAAAUGACGUUAUGGCCCAUGGGCGCCAUCUUUUUCUUUUCGCUAACAUGAUUGAUACUGAAAACAAUUUAAGAGGUUGUAAAUUAAUAAUCCACCAGUGCGGUAUGUGAAAAAUGUGUCUAGACAAGAUGAAAAAUUCCAAUUUUAAAGUAAAGAAUUCAAAGACGUGUAUGACAUGAUGCGAAACACUCAUUACCUUAUGCAUGUGUAGAUGGUGAGCUUGUGACCCGGAUGGAUGAAUGAUGGAAAGACACAUAAGUGCUGUAUACAGUAUUUGGUAUAAAUCAGUCAUUGAAAGUCAUUACAGCUGAAGAUUUUAAUGACGCUCUGUACUGGUACUAACAAUGUUGAUUACAGUCAAUGGAAGGUUAAUCAAACCAGAAUAACAGCACCUAUGAAUGUGGUCGAAUAAGGUGUGGAGGUGAUUAAUAGCAACAUUGAAUGUGGGUUGAAUAUGGUGUGUUAAAGAUGCAAGAAAACACACGAAAUGUGUAAACUGUAAUGGAUUAUAGCCUGGCGCUAUCCAAAUUACAAAACACCUGCCCUUGAGUCUAUAAUUAUUUAUUUUUUAUGGCACCCACAUUUUCAUGUCGCUGCCUCUGUUCGUCCAGAUGUACCUCCGGUGAAAUUUGUUUGUGGUCACAAUUAUCCGAUUUUAAUGAAAUUUAAAUGUAUAUUUAUAUUCAAAUCAUCUGGGAUCAGAUUCAUUUUGAACUCUAACCUCAUGGAUUAUGGCCCCUUAUAUUGUGGUAAAUUGGGUUUUUAGCAUGUGGGCCCAUCCAGAGGAUUUUGGCAUAGAAUAUUACACCUGAUUGUACGAUCCAUUGUUUUUAACUUCUGGAUCCUCUAGAAUUCGCAGUUUUAUAUGCCAACAUUUCCCAUGCCUGAAUUAACCCCUCUUUGCUGAAGAUUUGACUUUCGAGUUCAGAGUUAUGCCCCAUAGCCAAAAACUUUGAAUUUGAUAGGAGUUACAGUUUUUAACCGGUCCUUUUCAGAUUUGGUGUGAAGCAUUGGAUUCAUGAGAUCACAAACCCCAACGAUAUGCAGUGAUUAGAAGAUAACCUUUUCAAAAAAGCUUGUGAGUGUGAUGAGGCUACAAUUUAUUAAUUUGCCGUGUAGCUUUGGCACCAUGAGAGGACAAAUCCAAUAAAUUUCAGCAAUCCACACUUAACCCACUUUUUUGGAAACCAUGUGAACGUGAUAAAGCUACAAUUUUUUUAACAGAUUUUUUUCUAAUUCUAUAUGAAACAUUGGGACAAUGAGUGGAUUAGCCUUAUUUAUAUUCCUUAUUCUCUUUUGCAAUAUGUGGGUGUAUCUUAGAUGGCAACCACUUGUUAAUUGUAUCAAUUGUGUUGUAAUAUUUUGAAAACAAUAAUAAAUAUCAAAGUGUUA